Molecule: ribosomal RNA, 237 nt
Filed under: uncultured Staphylococcus sp.
Lineage: Bacteria; Bacillati; Bacillota; Bacilli; Caryophanales; Staphylococcaceae
Description: partial 16S ribosomal RNA
Rfam family: Bacterial small subunit ribosomal RNA
Source: RNAcentral
CGGGUGAGUAACACGUGGAUAACCUACCUAUAAGACUGGGAUAACUUCGGGAAACCGGAGCUAAUACCGGAUAAUAUUUUGAACCGCAUGGUUCAAAAGUGAAAGACGGUCUUGCUGUCACUUAUAGAUGGAUCCGCGCUGCACUAGCUAGUUGGUAAGGUAACGGCUUACCAAGGCAACGAUGCAUAGCCGACCUGAGAGGGUGAUCGGCCACACUGGAACUGAGACACGGUCCAG